Long non-coding RNA from Ostrea edulis (European flat oyster), 254 nucleotides. RefSeq lists it as uncharacterized. Lineage: Eukaryota; Metazoa; Mollusca; Bivalvia; Ostreida; Ostreidae. The transcript is spliced from 2 exons. The record is from RefSeq and is a predicted model, not a curated record.
AGUCCAGCGAUACGUUUUGUAGUAUGAAGUUGUUAAUGUCACAAAAGACGGCACCAUGAUGAAGUCGCCCAUCGUAUCAAGUACCAACUGGGAGGUAGUGCACCUGAUCAAGGGAUAUGAAUAACAAUGAUAUGAAGCCCGCAUCGUAGUGAUUAGUGAUUGGGUUUUUCAUAAAGAAUCGGAAUUAUGAAGAAUUUCGUUACUUUAAAGAAAUAAAUGUGACAUUUUCAUUGAAUAAAAAUACCAUCCACAUA